This 2524-nucleotide long non-coding RNA is filed under the name Anas platyrhynchos platyrhynchos (common mallard). Its description in RNAcentral is "lncRNA (ENSAPLG00000017654.1)". Lineage: Eukaryota; Metazoa; Chordata; Aves; Anseriformes; Anatidae. The record is from RNAcentral.
UCUAUGGGGCAGGAUCUAUGGGGCAGGGGGGGAUCUAUGGGGCAGAAUCUAUGGGGCAGGUCAGAUCUAUGGGGCAGGAUCUAUGGGGCAGGAUCUAUGGGGCAGGGGGGGAUCUAUGGGGCAGGGAAGGGAGAUCUAUGGGGCAGGAUCUAUGGGGCAGGAUCUAUGGGGCAGGGGACACGGCACCGGGCACACGCGGCCGAGCACGGGCAAUAAAUCACCGGCAGCACAACCGCAGCGUCUGGGGUCCCGUUUUGGGGCAAUUUCACCCGAUUUUGGGGGCGGCCUCAGCUGUUUGGGGCCAAUUCCCUCCCUUUUGGGGCAACUUCUCCCAGUUUUGGGGCCAUUUCGCCAGGAUUUUGGGGCCAUUUCUCGCAGAUUUGGGGCAAUUACACCCGAUUUUGGGGCGAUUUCUCCCGGUUUUGGGGCAAUUUCUCCCGGUUUUGGGGUGAUUUCUCCCAGAUUUGGGUCACUUUGUUCCCCUUUUGGGUCACUUUAUCCCCUUUUUGGGGCCAUUUUUCCCAGUUUUGGGGCGAUUUCUCCUGGUUUUGGAGUGAUUUCUCCCAGUUUUGGGGUCCCGUUUUGGGGCAAUUUCACCCGAUUUUGGGGGCGGCCUCAGCCGUUUGGGGCCAAAUCCCUCCCUUUUGGGGCCACUUCUCCCAGUUUUGGGCUGAUUUCUCCCAGUUUUGGGGCCAUUUCUCCCCCUUUUGGGUCACUUUCCCCCCUCCCCAACAUCACCACAUUUUCAGGGUUGAUUUCUCCCAUUUUUGGUCAAUUUCAACCGUUUGGGGCCAUUUCACCUGGUUUUGGGUCUGUUCCCUUCACUUUGGGGCCGAUUUCAGCCAUUUGGGGGCACUUUUCCCUCACUUUUGGGGACAAUUCCCCCCCUUUUGGGGUUCUGGGAGCCAAUUCCCCUUUAUUUCAGCCAAUUCCUCCCCCUUUUGGGUCCAAUUUCCUCUUUUUUGGGGUCUAUUUCACUACUUUCACUUCCCCCUCCCUUUUUGGGUCCCUUUCACUUGAUUUCUGCCAAUUUCUUUUUCUUUUGGGUGAAUUUCACAUUUUUUGGGUCAAAUUUCCCCCAUUUCUGCCAAUUUCUAUCAAUUUUGCUCAUUUUCUUCCAAUUCUCCCCCCCUUUUUGGGUCAAUUUUCCCCAUUUUCAGCCCAUUUCCCCCAUUUUCAGCCAAUUUCCCCCAUUUUCAGCCAAUUUCCUCCAAAUUUUGCCUGUUUCCCCCCUUUUUGGCUCUCCCCUCACCUUUUUGGGGCCGUUUCACCCCAUUUCUUUCAAUUUCUCCCCGCUUUGGGGUCUAUUUUUGUCCCUUUCUUUCGCUUUCACACAAUUUCUUUCAAUUUCACUCCUUUUUUUUUCUCACCUAUUUUGGGGCCAUUUCCUCCCCUUUCUCGCCAUUUCCCCCACCCCCUCAUUUUUUUGCUCAUUUCCCGUAUUUUUGGGGGCUAUUUCUCCCCCUCCCCCCCUUUUGGACCAAUUUCCCCCUUUUUGGGUCAAUUUCCUCCGAUUUCUGCCAAUUCCUCCCCAUCCUCCUCCUUUUUAGGCCAAUUUCGGCCAUUUUCGGUCAAUUUCACUCCCCUUUAGGUCAAUUUCACCCCAUUUUGGGUCCAUCUCCAUUUUGGGUCUAUUUCACUCAAUUUCCGCCAAUUCCACUCAAUUCCUUUCAGUUUCUCCCCUUUUGGGUCAAUUUCUGUCAAUUUCUGCCAAUUUCCUCCAAUUUCUGACCAUUUCUCUCCUUUUUGCCAAUUUCUGUCCAUUUCCUUAAUUUUCACUCAUUUUCUGUCCACUUCUCUCAAUUUUUUGUCCAUUUCAAUCAUUUUCCUUAAAUUUCACUGUUUCUGUCCAUUUUUAUCAAUUUCCUUAACUUUUCACUCAAUUCCUGUCAAUUUCUGACAAUCUCCUUCAUUUUCACUCAAUUUCUGCCAAUUUCUGUCCAUUUCCCUCAUUUCUUUCAUUUUUCACUUCAUUUCUGCCCAUUUUUGUCCAUUUCCCUCAUUUCUUUCAUUUUUCACUUAAUUUCUGCCCAUUUUUGCCCAUUUCCUUCAUUUCUUUCACUUUUUCACUCCAUUUCUGCCCAUUUUUGUCCAUUUCCCUCAUUUCUUUCAUUUUUCACUUAAUUUCUGCCCAUUUUUGCCAAUUUCCCUCAUUUCUUUCACUUUUUCACUUCACUUCUGCCCAUUUUUGUUCUUUUCCCUCAUUUCUUUCAUUUUUCACUCCAUUUCUGCCCAUUUUUGCCCAUUUCCCUCAUUUCUUUCAUUUUUCACUUAAUUUUUGCCCAUUUUUGUCCAUUUCCCUCAUUUCUUUCAUUUUUUCACUCCAUUUCUCUCCACUUUUCUCCAUUUCCUUCAUUUUCUCACUAAUUUCUGCCCAUUUCUGCUCAUUUCUGUCAAUUUCUGUCCAUUUUUAUCAAUUUCUGCCCAUUUUCAUCAAUUUCUACCCAUUUCUGUCCAUUUCUCUCACUCCUCCCCAUUUUUCCCCUUUCUCCCCAUUUCUUUCACUUUCUCCCCAUUUUUAUCA